Molecule: ribosomal RNA, 469 nt
Filed under: uncultured bacterium
Lineage: Bacteria
Description: bacterial SSU rRNA
Rfam family: Bacterial small subunit ribosomal RNA
Source: RNAcentral
CAACGGCUGGCGGCGUGCUUAACACAUGCAAGUCGAACGGAAAGGCCCUGCUUUUGUGGGGUGCUCGAGUGGCGAACGGGUGAGUAACACGUGAGUAACCUGCCCUUGACUUUGGGGAUAACUUCAGGAAAACUGGGGGCUAAUACCGGAUAGGAGCUCCUGCUGCAUGGCGGGGGUUGGAAAGUUUCGGCGGUUGGGGAUGGACUCGCGGCUUAUCAGCUUGUUGGUGGGGUAGUGGCUUACCAAGGCUUUGACGGGUAGCCGGCCUGAGAGGGUGACCGGCCACAUUGGGACUGAGAUACGGCCCAGACUCCUACGGGAGGCAGCAGUGGGGAAUAUUGCACAAUGGGCGGAAGCCUGAUGCAGCAACGCCGCGUGCGGGAUGACGGCCUCCGGGUUGUAAACCGCUUUCGCCUGUGACGAAGCGUGAGUGACGGUAAUGGGUAAAGAAGCACCGGCUAACUACGUG